CUGAAAACAGACUCAGUGUCACCAAGGUGACACACAGAGAGCACACGGCAUCACUGAUACCCCCUGUCCUUAUUACUCCCCACAGGGAACAAGUCCAGCGUGACACCAGCAACACUCCUGAAGAUCAUAUUGAAUAUGCCUCCGUGAAUUGGGUGGGAAGCGCCAGGCAUCCACAGCCCCAGAUUGAAGAGACGCCGACAUAUGCAGCGAUCACUCUGCAGCGGGGCAGAUAUCAUUAAUGCUCCAGUUGCUGAAAUGCAGGACUCGUCACAGCCCAGCCACAUCAAAGACCCUCCCGAAAUCAGAAGCAACUGUAGGGGGCAUGCAGUCAGAAAGUGAGAGACCUUCUCUGGGGCCACAGCUAGACAAUGCACAGUGACCCGAAGUGCUGUAGGACACUAGAAUAUACUUAGGGCAAAUGCUACUUGUUUUCCUAUUAGAAAAAAAAGUUUCUUAUGAAUAACAUUGGGAAAAAUACCCAAACCCUAUAUUUCUACCCCCGGACUCUUUAUAUGGACAACUCAGCUCCCGAGUCCUCUCAGCUCUGUUUAGUGAUUCCAUUGCCAACCCAAAGUAUCCAAAAAUCAUGAGCCCCUCCCUCCCCCUCCAAAUCCCAAGAUUAACUCAAGAAUUCAUAAGGUGGUUGUUUUUUUUAAUUAUACAUUUUGUUUGCUUUUAUUGGACUUCUGGUGUUUGACCUUUUGGAGGUCAGGUUUUCCAGGUGUUCUUCACAACCAGGAGGGCUAGAAAUGUACACAUUUCAACAAAACCCAAGAUUCUCACAUAAUCCCAGCACCUCAGGAGUGGGGCUUUAAGAAAAAUGGCAAAUAUUAUGAGAUGUGCUGUGAAAUCAUGAGAACUGACAACAGCAUCACGGUCAACUUUGAAUUUGCAGGAAUGUUUAAUGUCAUGUGGGUUUGUAGGGAUGUGAUGAAAUAUAAAUGUCAAGCAAAAAAUAUUAGUCACAAGCUAUGGCUUUGUGAAACUGUUUGUUGGCCUCAUCCAGAGAGUGCAGCCAUGUGGAUGCAAGAGAACAUCAUGCCAGUAUUUGGCUCCGUGGAAAGCAGUCACUGCAUGAAGCAAUUACAUCGCUUUGGUGUAUGGGUUUGAGCUGAUGUUUGGCAGGAAUUGUAGACUGAUGGCCAGGUUUCUGUAAGUGCCAGCACCCAGCAGCUGAUAAAAACUCUCAUUUGAGAACAAUGAUUAACAGCUACUGGGUCCUGGGUGCUUUGGAAAAUCUAGCCACGGCAUUUAGGUGCUUAAUUGAGAGCCGAACUCUGGGAAAUCUGGCCAU
Chrysemys picta bellii (western painted turtle) is the source of this 1294-nucleotide long non-coding RNA. RefSeq lists it as uncharacterized. NCBI's taxonomy places the organism in Eukaryota, Metazoa, Chordata, Testudines, Emydidae. The record is from RefSeq and is a predicted model, not a curated record.